Molecule: non-coding RNA, 26 nt
Filed under: Cricetulus griseus (Chinese hamster)
Lineage: Eukaryota; Metazoa; Chordata; Mammalia; Rodentia; Cricetidae
Source: RNAcentral
CUAAGAGAGACCAGAUGUAGAAUCCU